ACAAGUCUAAUGAAAUCAAUAAUGGGAAAUAAUGUCCCACAACAUCUAUCGACAUCUGAAAACCGUCUGCGAAAUCUCUACUACAUGACUAAAACAAAUAAUUCUCUGAAAUUUGGGACAAGGCCCUCAGUAGACCCAAAACUAUUAAAUGAUAAAUAAACUGCCAGACAUCAGGACUUCCGAAAUAUAGAAGGCUCACCACUUGACUUUGCAAAUCUGUCUGAAGAAUCUACUGAUUUUCUGGACCCCUAGAUUGUGCCUCCGAACCUGGGAGGGAAGGGGGUCAGUACAAAGUACUAGUACGCAAAGUAAUCCAAAACAAAGUAGAGAUUUUUAGUAAUCCAAAACAAAGCAGAGAUUUUUAUAUCAAGUAAAUGAGUGUUGUUACAAAACACAUUAUUGCAAAAUGAUUUCGAAAAUACAUGGUCAUAGUAUACUGAUUUUUCAACAACAAUGCAACACAUCUGAGCUAGGUGGUACACCCUACAAUUUCACAUUUUUACCAACUGUCAAAUCUCAGUUUCCGCCGAGAUUAGAGUAUAACUGAAGGAAAGACACACAAGAUCACACAGCAGGGUGUCUCAAACCAAUCAAGUAUGGUAGCGCACAAAAUCAUAAAGCAGGGCUCCUAACCAUAGUCCCAAUUUGGGAUGACAUAAUGUCAGGUACACAAGAUCACACAGCAGGGUACUAAGUUCUCGAGUCGAAAAAUACGGUUUCUAGCGUAGAGACAUUUGACUCGUGUUUUCUUCGGGUAACCACCUAUCUCACAAAAUCAAUGCAUGAAGCUUAUUUUAAUCAAUCACAUGUCAUACUCUGCAGGGUAUCGUCAUACCCGACUUGCAAGUCAUCAAUAUCACAUCAACUUUCCAACUUCUCAAACCAUUUACCAUAUGCACAUAUGUAUGACUUUCACAUCAUUAAAACACAUACACUAUAGUUCUCAACAUGCAAUUAUUUAAGAAGGUUAAUCAUUUAUGAGUAAUGUCAUAUCAAUUGCAAAACUCAUGCUCUCAAUGGUUUAACACUAGUAUAAUAUGGGGUAUAAACAUUAUCAUAGGGAAUUUAGAAAAUUCACAACUCAUGUACAUCGAACCCUUUUGAAAUUUCAGGUCACAUGUUCACAAUUCAACCAUUUAAAUAUAUUCAAACAAACAACCCCAUGAUAUCUCAAUAAUUCUUUCAAAAUCAUAUAUCAAAACAUGUUAUUUGUAUCAAUUGAAAACCCCCAUUUGUAAAAACUUGUAUAAAUUUAAAGUCUUGCAUAAAUUCGUUUUUGAAAACAUGCCCAUGAAAUUUAGGACAACCCCACGUACCUCUAUGUUGGAGAAUAAUGAAUGAUUCUUGAAGCUUAUAGAUUGGGAAUUCCAGAUCUCUAAUUAUCUUCAAAAACUCACGGUUGAAUCUUGAAUUAUUUGGAAUUCUUGUCUGAAACCCUAGAGAGCGUUCUUGAUGAAUUUUGGUGAAAGUGUAUGUAUUUAGGUGUAUUUGGGAUUAAAUCUCGUGUUUAUAUGGGUUUGGGGCCAUGGAAAAUGUCUAGUUUGACCUUAGAAUUUAAAAUUUGGGAAUGGAACGCCGUAUAAGGCUUCACCGCGAUGCGCUGGAAAUCACGAUGAGCUACUAGAAUUGACAAUUGUCAAUUUAAGGCUCAUCACGAUGCGGUGGCCAGUCAAACGGAAAUGCUGACACUAAAAAUGCUCUAACUUCUUCACCGAGUGUCUAUUUUAAGGCGAAUUUCGUAUCGAUGGAAAGCUAAUUUGAUGAUAUUUCAUUUGAUAUAUAGUAGACCACCCAGUUCAUCAUAUAUAAUGAGUUAUGAUCGAUUGAAGUUGACCCAAGUUUCAACGUUCACUAAAACUUGAACGAUAGGAAAGUUUUGAACUCAUCUUUGAGUUAAGAGACUUCUAUGAUCUCAAUUUAUGCUAUACUAGAUUCAUACACUACAUAAUUUAUUAUACACUAAAUUUGCAUAGGAUUCAUGAAUUUUUCAACCUCUAUGUGAAAGAAUAACGAUUUACGUUCUAACCCGAACUGUAGGGUGUUACAAAAGGUCAUUGUAUGCUUGUUUUAGAUAAGUCCAUAAGUGUGAAGUAAGAUUAGGUCCAAGUCUUUGAUACAUGUGAUGGUUAGUUAAAAUUUUUGUGUGUUUAUUCUUGGGGUAGCGCGUGGGAAUUAUAUUGAUAGUGGUUUAGAGAAUAUGUGAAAUAUGUCUUUAUGAGUGUUUGCCUUGAAGUCCAUAUGCGGUUAUAAAGAUAGGCUUGAAUGGCAUGUUGGGAUUUAAGUGGAGGAACAUAAUAUGCACUAGUGAAUCCAUAGUACGAUGUUCAGAGUUAGUCAUUGAAGUGGUAAGGCACAUUAUGCUUAGGGUAUGAGCUCUAAAAAUAUAUAAAAGAUUGAAUCAUAUGGUUUAGACUAGUAUCGUGGUGUGACAUGUUGUAUUUUUGUGAGUUGGAGUUAGGCUUGAUCACGGUGAGAGGAUUUAAGUUACUUUAGACAUUAGUAGAAAGAUUUAUCAGUGCCCAUAUGAGGAUUAUAAGUUGAAUCAAAUAAGUAUGGUAUUUAAAGGGAAUAGUAUAGUUCAGGGAGUAUUCGAAAAGUGUGCUAAGCUUGAAAGCAAGAAGUUGCAUUGCCUAAGGCCUGGUAAUUCUAUCCUAGUUUAUGAGUUAUAUGUCUAUAUUCGAUGCUAUGGAGUGGUGUCACUGUUGUGAUUCCUUAGAUGGAUGUCUUGUGUAGAUCAUGACCACGAUUCUUUUCUCCCUAAUGCUCCUAGGAACAGGGGACCACUAGGAUCUAUCUUAGGUGCCAUAUCUAUUUCGCAGGCUACGAUUAAGGUGGAAUAAAAAAAUCAAAGAAUCUCGAAAUCUAUAACUUGUAAUCAGAGAUCUAUGGCUCACAAAUGGAGAUCUAACUCCUCUAAACUUACUAGCUUACAAACAGGAACAACAAGCUGAAUAAACUCACUUUAUUGAUGAUGUAUUCACACUCGAUUGUUGUUUCUCUAGUUCCAUGAUUGUGUGUCUCUGAUCCCAUGUUGAAAUAUCUCUCAAGCUCUCACACACACACACACAACUGUCAUUGCAGCAGUUACUGAGCUUGAUUAGAAGAAGGGAAGAAGAGAGAAAUUGAGCUAAGAAGAAAC
This 3139-nucleotide long non-coding RNA is filed under the name Capsicum annuum. Its description in RNAcentral is "long non-coding RNA (CANN_LNC007599)". Lineage: Eukaryota; Viridiplantae; Streptophyta; Magnoliopsida; Solanales; Solanaceae. The record is from RNAcentral.